This 406-nucleotide ribosomal RNA is filed under the name uncultured bacterium. RNAcentral describes it as "partial 16S ribosomal RNA". It matches the Rfam family "Bacterial small subunit ribosomal RNA", at positions 29 to 526 of the family's 1533-position model. The record is from RNAcentral.
AUUGAACGCUGGCGGCAGGCCUAACACAUGCAAGUCGAACGAGUGGCGGACGGGUGAGUAAUGUCUGGGAAACUGCCCGAUGGAGGGGGAUAACUACUGGAAACGGUAGCUAAUACCGCAUACCAUCAGAUGUGCCCAGAUGGGAAUAGCUGGUAGGUGGGGUAACGGCUCACCUAGGCGUCGAUCCAUAGCUGGUCUGAGAGGAUGACAGGCCACACUGAAACGGAGACGCGGUACAGACUCCUACGGGAGGCAGAAGUGGGGAAUAUUGCACAAUGGGCGCAAGCCUGAGGCAGCCAUGCCGCGUGUGUGAAGAAGGCCUUCGGGUUGUAAAGCACUUUCAGCGGGGAGGCGUUACCCGCAGAAGAAGAACCGGCUAACUACGUGCCAGCAGCCGCGGUAAUAC